GACGAACGCUGGCGGCGUGCUUAAUACAUGCAAGUCGACUUGCUUUUGAUUAGCAAUAGUCAAAAGAGAGUGGCGCACGGGUGAGUAACACGUAGAUAAUCUACCUCAGGACUGACAUAAUGUAGAGAAAUCUGCACUAAUAUCAGAUGAAACAAAAUCCUGGCAUCAGAGAUUUUGUCAAAGUUUUAACGCCUGAAGAUGAGUCUGCGGUCCAUUAGGUAGUUGGCGGUUUAACAGACCACCAAGCCGACGAUGGAUAGCUGGGUCUGAGAGGAUGAUCAGCCACACUGGAACUGAGACACGGUCCAGACUCCUACGGGAGGCAGCAGUGAGGAAUAUUGGCUCAAUGGGAGAAAUACCUGAAGCAGCAACGCCGCGUGGAGGAUGAAGGGCUUUC
This 397-nucleotide ribosomal RNA is filed under the name uncultured bacterium. Its description in RNAcentral is "bacterial SSU rRNA". It matches the Rfam family "Bacterial small subunit ribosomal RNA", at positions 28 to 420 of the family's 1533-position model. The record is from RNAcentral.